CUAAAUAUCUGUUUAAAUGUUGAAUGUUUAUUUUCAGUCAGGAGGCUGCAGUCUGCAGGCCGUCCACUAGGGGCAGCAGCUCAGAUCCGUUCAUCUCAUAUUUAUUCUCAUAUUUAUUCAUGUAUGUAUUCGUCCGUUCAGUCCUGCUCGCUGAUGGAAACAGGAAGUGAAAGCAGCUCGCGGCCUCGACGCCCAGCAGUGUGGAGACGGACUCAUGCGGCCGCCGGCGGUGAAACGUGGACGGAUGCAGUUAGACGGACGACAUAUUGGCUUGAACUGUGGAGGCUCCGGGCUUCGGAUCAGGACUCAGCCUCCGUCUCCUCGCUGACCUCCGCCCCCUGCCUCCCCUCCGUCCUCCCCCGGGCCGGGCUGGGUGUCGGGGGUGAGCCUCCCCGAGGACUCGCCGACUCGACUGUCACAAGUCGUUGAGCUGCGGCACCUCAGACGGAGUCGCCAGAAAUCAGAACAUUCAGGCAUCAGGAAUCUAAGACAGAGAGAAAUCCCAUUUAUCAAACCUGCUGGUGGUUCGUUCUGGAGCUCCUAAACUCAUUUGGACUCAACCUCUAUGUUGUAUUUGUAUAUUUCUAUGUAUUUUUGUAUAAAUGUGGUAGAAACAACAUUUAUUUCUGUUUGUAGAAACAUUGACAAUAAAGUUCAGUUUGACUUUA
Stegastes partitus (bicolor damselfish) is the source of this 668-nucleotide long non-coding RNA. RefSeq lists it as uncharacterized. NCBI's taxonomy places the organism in Eukaryota, Metazoa, Chordata, Actinopteri, Pomacentridae. The transcript has 2 exons. The record is from RefSeq and is a predicted model, not a curated record.